RNAcentral lists this unclassified non-coding RNA (99 nucleotides) under Sorangium cellulosum So ce56. RNAcentral describes it as "sce_SRP_bact_2". The record is from RNAcentral. Lineage: Bacteria; Pseudomonadati; Myxococcota; Polyangiales; Polyangiaceae.
GGGUGCGAGGCGCGGUCGGUCGGCCGCGCACCACGCGCCACCCGUCGCAUCGCCGCGCUGUUGCGAUCCCGUCGCUCACCCAGGCCUCGCACGCCGGCG